Non-coding RNA from Drosophila melanogaster (fruit fly), 2790 nucleotides. Lineage: Eukaryota; Metazoa; Arthropoda; Insecta; Diptera; Drosophilidae. The record is from Ensembl.
UGUGCCCGUCUGGCAGCUCCAAAAUCCCGUUAAGUUGGCGGCAAAUGCGCAAAAAAUUUAAGUACAGUAAAAUUUAUAAUUUGUGGUGAAAUACAACAAUUGAAUGAGACAAAAUGUGAAUUGAAUUUGAACAACGACUUGAUGGACGACUACAGCUCGUUGUGGGCGUGACUGGCGGGCAAAUGGGGCUGCAGGUCCCGCCAAAAGUCGACCCGGUGCUGCAUAAGCUCGUUUUCAAGUCGAAAAAUGGAUGCGGAGUCCUCCAUUUUGGUGCCCAGUCGAGCGAAUUCCACUGGAUAACUAGAGGCGGGACUCCAGUUCGGCAGAUGAAAGCUAACAUUCGUGGGAUUUGGAUUGCUGUGGAGAAAUUAUCAUUAGUUUCGAUUAAAAAAAAGAGUUAUAUUUAAAUGGCAUAUACCCGGUCUUCGCAAAGCUAACCCACAGAUGGAGCAUUAAUUCGCGGAGUUCCAGAUCCUUUUGCGUCGGCACCGCACUCACAAAUAACUCCCGGCCAAUGGGGAACAAGUACUGGAGCUCCUCGGCAUGGCACGCUCCAUAGAACUCGUUUCGGCCGCCCUUGAAAAUCUCCGUAAAACUGGCAGCUCCCUUGUGAUCGAAUAGGUAUACAUAGGUGGGGGCCACGUCCUCUUGGGACAUGCGGAGGCGCAAGUACUCAUCGAUUCCGGCCACAAACCAUCCAUCCGAGAUCAGCUAAAAUGGAAUUGGCGAUCCGUCCACUCACGUCGGUCAGGUUCUGGUGGUUGGCCUUGUCGUAAUCGUGGCCCGACUUGAAGUAGAAGCUUUCGAUGCGCUGCGUAAUCGUUUGCCGCACGGAAUCGUCAUGAUGAUCGUAGUUGAGCACGACGGGCAGGACCUGCUCAAACUGAGACUUAAACUCGGCCAACAGCUGGGGAAGAUUGAGCAGGGCGGCGGUCUUCAGGAGACCUUCCUCGGCGGUGGCGCCCACCAUGAGUGGAAGUUGCAGUCCAUGUGGCUUGGCCGCCUGGCGAGGUGCCACUGUGAGGAAGGCGCCAUCGUGCUCCGGUUCGACCACGGGCGGAAAUGGUAUCAUCGGAUCAAAGUCCCAGACCUGCAAUACAAAAGAAAGCUAAAGGUAAAGCUUGACCUUCCCUUCACCAUAUUUGUUUAAUAACAGCUGCAUUGUACUCAUUUUUGGUCAAUACCAGCUCUACCUUUUUUCAACAAAAGUCUUGCUGGUGACACUCUCCGUUUUGUAUAUCAAUUGUAACAAAAGUAAUUUACAUAAGUGGCGAUUUGGAGAGCCUUCAUUGAAAUUGGUUAUAAGGCUACGUCUAGCUUUGAAUGUAAAUUGCAUAAUUGUACUAUCAGGUUAGUUAAAACUCCUUAAUUUUGCGAAUUAAUUAAUUACCCUGUGCAAAUCUUUUGCAGACUACAAGUACUUACGAACAUGUCGUACAGGGAGGCCACUAUAUCCUCCGCUGGCUUCUUCCUCAGGCACUCCAGUUUUUCCGGCCAUUCACCGGCGUUGCCGCAGCCCACUAUUUGGGCCAAUUUGGUUGCCCUUCCAGCGGCCACUCCCUUAUGUGCAGGCUGUGCCCAGGGAUUGAAAUAGGUGCCAGACUGGGCGAUACCUCGAUGCAGUAGGCCGCGCGACUUCUCCGACAGCAUGUGAUAGGUGACACUGGCACCUCCGGCGCUCUCGCCAAAGACCGUAACACUGUUCGGAUCACCACCAAAUGAUGCAAUGUUCGCACGAACCCAGUGCAGAACCUCCAGUUGAUCCUUCAAGCCAUUGUUGCCGGGACAAUCGAGCGUUUCUGUGCUAAGGAAUCCCAAUGGUCCCAAUCGAAAGUUGGCCGAAACCAAGACGAUGUCGUGGUCGAGCAGGAAAUCAGGACCGUAAAAGCUACUAAUACCGGAGCCACACUGCCAGCCGCCGCCAUGGAACCACACCAUCACAGGCAAAGAUCCAUUGGUUCUCGGCCUCUCCGGCGUGUAAACGUUAAGAUAAAGGCAAUCCUCAGAACCCUCCAGUAUCAUGUCGCGCCGGAAGGGAUCACGCUGCAGGCAGAUGGGUGCAUCCUUGAUCGCCAAUCGUUCACCCUCCCAAGGGGCCUUCGGCACGGGCGGACGAAAGCGAAGAUCGUCGAGAGGUGGCUCUGCAUAUGGCACACCCAUAAACGCUCGCAUAUGCCGGCCAUUGUGUGUUGUCAAAUGGCGUCCAAUUAGCCAACCGCCGUGGGAUAAACGAACGUGCAAGCACUGCGAAUUGCGUCCAUCGCUCCAUUGGAUGCAAAUGCACAACAAAAUCACCCGAAUCGACCAAAGGCCAGCGUCUUUUGACAUCGUGCUCCUGCGCUUGAAGUCCGAGUUCAGACUGAUUUCGCUGGUGCACAGCACGCGUAGUUUUAAGAUUACAACAUCAUCAUAAAGUCAGCUAUCUCAGCGCGCCAGCUUCCGAAGCGAACUUGUUUGCCGAAUUUUUUGUUAAGCGGCCCGUCUCUUAGCUCAUUAAUUCUGCUUAUUUUCAUACCCUCAGCGGAGUAUUUUAAAUAUGGAAACCAUAUUACAAGUGGAAGGGUGUGCAGACGCCAAGGUGCAGCAGCGAUAUCUUUCUUGCCACUUUGCUGCGUGAUCAGCAUCAGCAUCAACAUCGCCAUCAGCAUCGACAUUAAUUUCGGAUGUUUAGGUUUCAUUUUGGAACACUGCGCAAAUUUGGUCAAAUCGAGCCGAAAACCGUGGUUUGAGGUUGUUGGUGCUUUGAAACAUAAUGAAAUGCCAAUACUCUGACAAUUAAGAAUCUACAAC